GCGUGAUCGGGGCAUGGCUGAAUCGAGCGGUCUAUCAGGAGACGGUUUCUGACCGGGCGGCGCCUCUACGUUGUGGAUCGACGGGGCAAUGAAGGCAGCGACCAGAGGGAAGAAAAUGUUGCUGCACCCAGUUGGAGUGGGAUAUUUGUCUACAAUGAAAUGAAGCACAGCCAGAGAACCAGACAGCGCUACUUGACUUGGCACAAGUUGGAAAUACUACUUUUGAUAUGUAAUGGGAUAUGUGUUGCUUUUUAUUUAAUAUCCACAAGGAGCAGUCAAGAUCAGCAAGAUCGAGCAAGAUGGCAAAUUGAGGAUUGUGAACCAAGCCCCACCCUUUUUGAAUGUGAAUGUGAUGUUGACAUAAAUUGGAAUGGGAUGGGGGUUUACAUUGCAAUGCUCUGUCUGACAUCUUGCUGAUUUUGACACACGCCUGCAAUGGUUACUGUCUUUGCCCCUGAGAAAUGGUCUGUGGUCAGUACUUAAUCUGGGGAAAGCUGCCCAUGUGAAUCAGCCUUAAGAUUCCAGGAAACAGGGAAGCUGGAUGGUGCACUUCACAAACUUUGAUUAUAUCCCCUGUUAAGUCUGUAUCUAUGAGAAGUAUUCAUUUAAGUCCAAUGAAAAAUUAUACAGAACAAAAGAACAACAACAAACUUUUGUGGCUGAUCCCAAUGUAUUCUCUUACAAUCCUGUGUGUAACUGUACUGCCCCUUACACAAUCUGGACUGGAUAUUUAUAGAUCCUGACAAAAUACAAACACUUCGAAAACUUGAACUGGAUUUUUAAAUCGGUCUAGUAUCUUAAUUAAUAUAGAAUCCCACUAUGCAGUGUUUGAACAGAGGCAAUAAAUAAACAGUGGUCUAUGUUUACUAUGAUUAGCUUGUGAUCAGAGGAAUACCCAGGAUAUGAUCUUAAAUUUUAAGUAUCUCUACUGAAGCUUGGAGAUGUCUGUCAUAACAUAUUUGUGAGGGGAAAAAUACUCUGGAACUGUGUGGAAUCUCUGAAUAAACAUGUUUUGGAACAAAGUGUUA
Pantherophis guttatus is the source of this 1028-nucleotide non-coding RNA. Lineage: Eukaryota; Metazoa; Chordata; Lepidosauria; Squamata; Colubridae. The record is from RefSeq and is a predicted model, not a curated record.